RNAcentral lists this ribosomal RNA (497 nucleotides) under uncultured bacterium. Its description in RNAcentral is "partial 16S ribosomal RNA". It matches the Rfam family "Bacterial small subunit ribosomal RNA", at positions 28 to 507 of the family's 1533-position model. The record is from RNAcentral.
GAUGAACGCUGGCGGCGUGCCUAAUACAUGCAAGUCGAGCGAACAGACGAGGAGCUUGCUCCUCUGACGUUAGCGGCGGACGGGUGAGUAACACGUGGAUAACCUACCUAUAAGACUGGGAUAACUUCGGGAAACCGGAGCUAAUACCGGAUAAUAUAUUGAACCGCAUGGUUCAAUAGUGAAAGACGGUUUUGCUGUCACUUAUAGAUGGAUCCGCGCCGCAUUAGCUAGUUGGUAAGGUAACGGCUUACCAAGGCGACGAUGCGUAGCCGACCUGAGAGGGUGGUCGGCCACAUGGGAACAGAGACACGGCACAGACUCCUACGGGAGGCAGCAGUAGGGAAUCUUCCGGAAUGGGCGAAAGCCUGACGGAGCAACGCCGCGUGAGUGAUGAAGGUCUUCGGAUCGUAAAGCUCUGUUAUUAGGGAAGAACAAAUGUGUAAGUAACUAGGCACGUCUUGACGGUACCGAAUCAGAAAGCCACGGCUAACUACGUG